Molecule: ribosomal RNA, 2685 nt
Filed under: Triticum aestivum (bread wheat)
Lineage: Eukaryota; Viridiplantae; Streptophyta; Magnoliopsida; Poales; Poaceae
Description: partial small subunit ribosomal RNA
Source: RNAcentral
AUGGGUUUGUGUUCCCGCGGUCGAGGGAGGCGGCGGGGUGGCGUUCCCGUGGUCGAGGGAGGCGGCGGGAUGGCGUUGCCGCGGUCGAGGGAGGCGGCAGGGUGGCGUUCCCGCGGGUCGAGGGAUGCGUCGGGGUGGCGUUCCCGCGGGCAGAGGGAGUUGGCGCGGUGGUUUUCCUUGGCCGCCAGGGGAUUUAGGUACUUGACUAAUCGAGAUGUUGUUGAUAGUUUACAAAAUGUUGCAGGUAACUCUGGUGAGAAUGAGGGGAGUAAGAAGGCUAAGAAGAAGAUUAAGAAGAAAGGCAAUCUAUGUGGCUUUAAGUCAAGGUUUAACUCAAAAAGGCUGGCUCAGAUUGGGAAGCAAAUAUCACCGGAAAAACAGAGAAUCAUAAGGGAGGGACCGUUUGGAGACUUGUUGGACAUCCGGUCUUUCAAGGUGCCCCAUGAGCUCAUUGAGUUUGUUGCGAUGAACACGAAUCACGUACUCUCUGAGUUCAAACACAAGAACAAAUCUAUCACCUUCAGCAAGCUUAUGGUGAAAAGGAUUUUCAACGUGCCAUCCGGUGAUAGACCCGUGAAGCUUCUAAAGAAGAGUGAUGAACAUGAUCUUUGCAGCAUCUACAAGGAGGGGAACAGGGCUCCAAUCGCCCAUGUUGUCAAGUUGCUCACUAUUUUGUGCCCAGGCACGGGCAAUAUGGUGAAUCUCGAGUAUCUUGAUUCCCUCGAAGAUAUGUCUUUGGUGCAUGAAUUCGCUUGGGAUGAGCACUUGUUGGCACGAGCUAUGGAGGAGGUUGGAGUCUUUCAAGAGAAGAAGAGGAUGCAAGCAAACGCAGAAAAAGAGUUUCAGAUUGCUUCAUGCCUUCCCAUGUUAGCGAUCAUAUACAUGGAUCAUGUUGAUAUCCCGGCUGGCCUCCCAAAUGAGCAUGCUAUUGAUUAUUCCGUGCCAAGGAUACAUUUUGUUUGCCAAAAGGAUUUUGAGUGGUUGGAUAAAGUUGACAAAAACAAGCUCACUCUUGUCCAACCUUUCUACGGGAAACACAUCCAUUUUGUGCAACACCCCCCUAUGCAGCACAACUUGUGGGACAGGAAGUUGGUGCUGAAGCAGCUAGUGGGAAGGGAGUUGAUGCUGAAGCACCUAGUGGCCAAGGAACUAGUGGCCAAGGCAGCCAAAUUUAAGGUACCAACUCAGUUUCAAAUGCUUUACGACAAGCACAAGGGUAUUUUUGCAUCGGAGGUGGAUGAUGUUGUUGGCAAGUUUGGACAGUGUUUAAAGGGAUUGCAGUGCAACCGGAUGGCAGCCCUCCUUCGUGAUGUUGGAGAUGCCAUCACAGCUACCAGUGAGCCCAACUUCUCCUUUGAAGCACCUAUCAUGGACGAAUGUCGCGGAAAAGAGAAUGAUGCUAAAGCUGCAAAUGCUGGCAUUGGUGCUCAAGCUCAAGCUGAAGGUACAACACCUAACAUUAACAAGGAUGAAGUCACCGAAUUGAAGCAACAAGUUGGAACCGAGGCUGCUGAAACUCCUGAGCAACAACGAGUGAGUUUCGAGAUGGAAGGCAACGUCUCACCUCACAGCCCCCCACUCUUCUAUGAUGCACCCAGGAGUGCGACAGCCGGCAUUUGGGACGAGGAGCCAUCCUGUGAGUUGUUCCCAAAGGGCUCCGAAGAGUACGAGAUGAUGCAUUGCACGGAUGAGCCUAUAACCAAGAAGAGCGCAGUCAACCCCAUAUUUGAAAACAUCCCCGUGUUCCCUGUUUCAGACGAUGAUGGCAGCCCAACCCCUAAGAUGGUCGCUACAGAAGAGCAAUUUGUUGAUGCAAGCAGUGGCCCUAGCACACAUGACAAGAACACUAGGAAGAAGAGGAUGGCCAAAGUUCCAGCCGUAAAAAAUACCAAGGCAAAGAAGCAAAAGGUCGAUGCAGCUGUAGCCACAUAUGAGAAGUAUGUAAAGCAUGGGAAACCAUUGAGGAGAUCACAUGCCAAUGAACAAGUGACACCUUUCAUAAAGAUAGGUGGAUUUUACAUUGGAUACAAGAAAUUCCUGGUAUGCUUCAAGCCUCGCGGGGAUAUGAAUGAUGAGGUUAUGUCCCUAUGUAUCGAGAUGAACAACGUAGCAUCCCGUGCAGCAAGUGGUACUAAUCUGAAGAAAUACAUGUUCUCAGUCCACGCGGGGAUCUUACUAAAACAAGACCCAACAACCUUCCAACCAGCAAAACUCAUACCCGAGCUUGAAAGGGCUGUGACAAAGUUCAAGGCGAAUAAAUAUGACCUCCUUUUUGUCACAAUUGUUCAUGAAAAGCAUUGGAUAAUUGUUUGCGCAAACUUGCUAUACAAGCAGUGGAAUGUAUUUGACUCAAUCCAUUCAAAAGGGAAACAAUCUCCUUUGAAGAAGCGGGCCAAUAACCUGAUCACAAACUUUGCAGCCCUCGCACAAGAGUACAGCCAAUUCAAUGUCAAUGUUGGAUCAUUCGCCCGUGUUGACCUAGAGGAUUACCCAAAGCAAGAUAAUCUAUGUGAUUGUGGCUUUCUCGGGCUCAAAUAUGUGGAGAACUUUGAUGGGAAGUCAAUGAAAGAGUUCAAUCAGGAAGAUGUGGCGCGAUACCGCAUGGAUGUGGCGCACAACCUUUGCACUCACCCAAUGAACAAUGCCCCAAUGGAGCGGGCAUUCAUGGAAGAGUUGGCGGCUUAA